GAUGGAUACCCUACCAACUGCAAAAACCCGGCAUGUAAUGGAACUCCGUGUAUCCUCGUAUCCACAGCUCCACGCAGCGCGCUUGCUGGCCUUUGCAAGGACGGCAAAUGUGUCCCGUCUUACGAAUUGAAUGUACAAGAGAAAAAAACUGCGCAUCCACAAAUGUACGGCAAGUGUCCAGAGAAAGAGCACUAUGGCCGAAAUGUCCUCCAGAAUUGCUACUAUUACUGCGAAAAAAGCAACGCGUGGUACUACGGCUUCUACAACAGCAACGUCUCCAGUGCCUGUAAUCUGGAAAAUCCACUUCCACGACAGACUCUUGGAUGGUGCUGUAAGGGUGACUGUGUUCAAAAGCCGUAUUGCCAACAGUGAUAAUUUUUUUCGCUAUAAAUGCAAUAUUGUUUGCGUGACCAAGUUGCAGGGGUCACCACUAUUAAUAACUGACACAUAUCAUUGAAUAAAGCG
Long non-coding RNA from Dermacentor silvarum, 465 nucleotides. RefSeq lists it as uncharacterized. The record is from RefSeq and is a predicted model, not a curated record. Lineage: Eukaryota; Metazoa; Arthropoda; Arachnida; Ixodida; Ixodidae. The transcript is spliced from 5 exons.